UACGGAGGGUGCGAGCGUUGUCCGGAUUUAUUGGGUUUAAAGGGUGCGUAGGUGGGUUAAUAAGUCAGUGGUGAAAUACGGUUGCUCAACAAUCGAGGUGCCAUUGAUACUGUUAAUCUUGAAACAAGUGGAGGUUGCCGGAAUGGAUGGUGUAGCGGUGAAAUGCAUAGAUAUCAUCCAGAACACCGAUUGCGAAGGCAGGUGGCUACGAUUGGUUUGACACUGAGGCACGAAAGCAUGGGGAGCAAACAGG
RNAcentral lists this ribosomal RNA (253 nucleotides) under uncultured bacterium. Its description in RNAcentral is "partial 16S ribosomal RNA". It matches the Rfam family "Bacterial small subunit ribosomal RNA", at positions 524 to 776 of the family's 1533-position model. The record is from RNAcentral.